This 304-nucleotide ribosomal RNA is filed under the name uncultured bacterium. RNAcentral describes it as "partial 16S ribosomal RNA". It matches the Rfam family "Bacterial small subunit ribosomal RNA", at positions 506 to 808 of the family's 1533-position model. The record is from RNAcentral.
CAGCAGUAGCCGCGGGAAUACGUAGGUGGCGAGCGUUGUCCGGAAUUAUUGGGCGUGGAGGGAGCGCAGGCGGACAUAUAAGUCCAUCUUAAAAGUGCGGGGCUCAACCCCGUGAGGGGAUGGAAACUGUAUGCCUUGAGUGCAGGAGAGGAAAGCGGAAUUCCCAGUGUAGCGGUGAAAUGCGUAGAUAUAUGGAGGAACACCAGUGGCGAAGGCGACUCUCUGGUCUGUAACUGACGCUGAGGAGCGAAAGCGUGGGGAGCGAACAGGAUUAGAUACCCCUGUAGUCCCUGUCUCUUAUACA